CACGGGGGGAGCAAGCGUUGUUCGGAAUCACUGGGCGUAAAGGGCGUGUAGGCGGUCAGGUAAGCGGGAUGUGAAAUGCCCCGGCUCACCCGGGGACCGGCAUCCCAUACUGCUUGGCUUGAGGGCGGGAGAGGUCGGUGGAAUUCCCGGUGUAGUGGUGAAAUGCGUAGAGAUCGGGAGGAACACCUGUGGCGAAGGCGGCCGACUGGGCCGACCCUGACGCUGAGGCGCGAAGGCGUGGGGAGCGAACGGG
RNAcentral lists this ribosomal RNA (253 nucleotides) under uncultured bacterium. RNAcentral describes it as "partial 16S ribosomal RNA". It matches the Rfam family "Bacterial small subunit ribosomal RNA", at positions 524 to 776 of the family's 1533-position model. The record is from RNAcentral.